RNAcentral lists this ribosomal RNA (470 nucleotides) under uncultured bacterium. RNAcentral's name for it is "bacterial SSU rRNA". It matches the Rfam family "Bacterial small subunit ribosomal RNA", at positions 329 to 793 of the family's 1533-position model. The record is from RNAcentral.
GCAGAGCAUCCUACGGGAGGCAGCAGUGGGGAAUAUUGCACAAUGGGCGCAAGCCUGAUGCAGCCAUGCCGCGUGUAUGAAGAAGGCCUUCGGGUUGUAAAGUACUUUCAGCAGUGAGGAAGGUGGAUAUGUUAAUAGCAUAUUCAUUUGACGUUAGCUGCAGAAGAAGCACCGGCUAACUCCGUGCCAGCAGCCGCGGUAAUACGGAGGGUGCGAGCGUUAAUCGGAAUUACUGGGCGUAAAGCGCAUGCAGGUGGUUUGUUAAGUCAGAUGUGAAAGCCCGGGGCUCAACCUCGGAAUUGCAUUUGAAACUGGCAAACUAGAGUACUGUAGAGGGGGUAGAAUUUCAGGUGUAGCGGUGAAAUGCGUAGAGAUCUGAAGGAAUACCGGUGGCGAAGGCGGCCCCCUGGACAGAUACUGACACUCAGAUGCGAAAGCGUGGGGAGCAAACAGGAUUAGAUCCCUGGUAG